CAGAACACCAGGAGCCUCCCUCUAGGAAGAGUGCUGACAGGCUCUGGAUGUUUUCCUUUCAUUUUGUUGGAACUGCUUCUUCCUGGCAGGGGGAUAUUCCCCAUUCCAGAAGCCUCAUUCUCUCACUGACCGAAAAAGAUCAAGAUAUAGAAUCCAAGUCUUCCUAUUCCUAAGCUUAUGUUUCAGUCGCAAACCCAUCCU
Molecule: long non-coding RNA, 201 nt
Filed under: Crocodylus porosus (Australian saltwater crocodile)
Lineage: Eukaryota; Metazoa; Chordata; Crocodylia; Crocodylidae
Description: lncRNA (ENSCPRG00005004113.1)
Source: RNAcentral